AGUGGGGAAUAUUGCACAAUGGAGGAAACUCUGAUGCAGCAACGCCGCGUGGAGGAUGACACAUUUCGGUGCGUAAACUCCUUUUAUAUGGGAAGAUAAUGACGGUACCAUAUGAAUAAGCACCGGCUAACUCCGUGCCAGCAGCCGCGGUAAUACGGAGGGUGCAAGCGUUACUCGGAAUCACUGGGCGUAAAGCGCGCGCAGGCGGCUUGAUAAGUUGGAUGUGAAAGCCUACGGCUCAACCGUAGAACUGCAUCCAAAACUGUCAAGCUAGAGUGUGGGAGAGGAAGAUGGAAUUAGUUGUGUAGGGGUAAAAUCCGUAGAGAUAACUAGGAAUACCAAAAGCGAAGGCAAUCUUCUGGAACACUACUGACGCUGAGGCGCGAAGGCGUGGGGAGCAAACAGGAUUAGAUACCCUGGUAGUCCACGCAGUAAACGAUGAAUGUUAGUCGUCGGAGGCCUAGUGUCUUCGGUGAUGCAGCUAACGCAUUAAACAUUCCGCCUGGGGAGUACGGUCGCAAGAUUAAAACUCAAAGGAAUAGACGGGGACCCGCACAAGUGGUGGAGCAUGUGGUUUAAUUCGAAGAUACGCGAAGAACCUUACCUAGCCUUGACAUAUAUUAGAAUCCACCAGAGAUGGAGGAGUGCCUUCGGGAGCUUUUAUACAGGUGCUGCACGGCUGUCGUCAGCUCGUGUCGUGAGAUGUUGGGUUAAGUCCCGCAACGAGCGCAACCCUCGUCACUAGUUACUAACGGUUCGGCCGAGGACUCUAGUGAGACUGCCUUCGUAAGGAGGAGGAAGGUGAGGACGACGUCAAGUCAUCAUGGCCCUUACGGCUAGGGCAACACACGUGCUACAAUGGCCAGGACAGUGAGACGCGAUACCGCGAGGUGGAGCAAAUCUAUAAACCUGGUCUCAGUUCGGAUUGUAGUCUGCAACUCGACUACAUGAAGCUGGAAUCACUAGUAAUCGUAGAUCAGCUAUGCUACGGUGAAUACGU
RNAcentral lists this ribosomal RNA (1000 nucleotides) under uncultured bacterium. Its description in RNAcentral is "bacterial SSU rRNA". It matches the Rfam family "Bacterial small subunit ribosomal RNA", at positions 353 to 1371 of the family's 1533-position model. The record is from RNAcentral.